GGGGACGAAUUUGGUUUCGACUGUUGUAGUUUAAGUGUGGUGGCAUGUAGGGGUGAGGGACCUCUUAAAAACCUUCAAAACAAUAAACGCUAACAACGAAUUAGCACUAGCAGCUUAAUCUCUGCUACGGAUAAAAGGCUUACUCUCCCGGUGGCUUUUUUUCUGACGUAAACGGGAGACGUGAUUCAUCGGUGGACGGUUCUCGAUGCAUCAUGUAUAUGAAUCGGAUUGGAAAAACAUACCUGCUUGUGGGUUAAGGUUUUCUGAAAUUUUAAAUCACAAGACAAACAUGUAGAGGCCCCAUCGAGGCACAAUAGGACCCGGGUUCGAACCCCGGCGUCUCCAUGA
Molecule: transfer-messenger RNA, 348 nt
Filed under: Leptospiraceae
Lineage: Bacteria; Pseudomonadati; Spirochaetota; Leptospiria; Leptospirales
Also listed under: 1 other name
Description: Leptospira_B inadai Standard tmRNA
Rfam family: transfer-messenger RNA
About the family: Bacterial tmRNA, also known as 10Sa RNA or SsrA, is named for its dual tRNA and mRNA-like properties.
Source: RNAcentral